CUACGGGAGGCAGCAGUGGGGAAUAUUGGACAAUGGGGGAAACCCUGAUCCAGCAAUGCCGCGUGUGUGAAGAAGGCCUGCGGGUUGUAAAGCACUUUCGGUUGGGAGGACUGCUUCUAGCACUAAUAUUGUUGGAAGUUGACGUUACCUUCAGAAGAAGCACCGGCUAACUCCGUGCCAGCAGCCGCGGUAAUACGGGGGGUGCAAGCGUUAAUCGGAAUUACUGGGCGUAAAGCGCGCGUAGGCGGCUAGAUCAGUCGGGUGUAAAAGCCCCGGGCUUAACCUGGGAACUGCAUCCGAUACUGUCUAGCUUGAGUACAGGAGAGGAGAGUGGAAUUCCACAUGUAGCGGUGAAAUGCGUAGAUAUGUGGAGGAACACCAAUGGCGAAGGCAGCUCUCUGGCCUGAUACUGACGCUGAGGUGCGAAAGCGUGGGGAGCAAACAGGAUUAGAUACCCCUGUAGUC
RNAcentral lists this ribosomal RNA (465 nucleotides) under uncultured bacterium. RNAcentral's name for it is "partial 16S ribosomal RNA". It matches the Rfam family "Bacterial small subunit ribosomal RNA", at positions 339 to 795 of the family's 1533-position model. The record is from RNAcentral.